Delphinapterus leucas (beluga whale) is the source of this 1685-nucleotide non-coding RNA. NCBI's taxonomy places the organism in Eukaryota, Metazoa, Chordata, Mammalia, Artiodactyla, Monodontidae. The record is from RefSeq and is a predicted model, not a curated record.
ACUUAAGCAAAAGAGAAAAAUAAAUAACCUUGACUCCUCUAUCUGAAGUGAAAAGUACCUCUAUUCAAAAUCUCAAUGUGGUGCUGUGAAAAGAAAGGACUGUCCUUUACAUGGCUUAUUUUCCCUUUUGUUUAGAAUCCUGAAUCUUUCCCCAUGAGCGUUGCAAUAGGCAGCGUUCGGGAAAGCACCACACCACGUCCCCUUCGCAGCUGGACUUCCUGGCACCUCCUGGUCUUCAUCGAAGAGCAGAGUCAAGCAGGCAGGAUGCAAAGUUUGCUGAAAAAAUGCAUGGUGGAUACAUUUGGAAAGAAUAUGGCCUCUGCCCCCCUGCACUCUUCCCAUUCCUCCAACACGCCACGAUAGGAUGGAGAGCAGAGGAUUCCCAGCGCUUUGCUGUCUCACCCUGGUUAUCAUCAGUGAGGUUGAUCAUUGAGAUUAGAGGUAACUACUCACUGUGCAGUCAGGGAACAGACUAGAGUGAGGAGCUGGAUUAGCUCUCAACCUGCCGCUAUUUGCCAUGCAUUUUACUUUAGCAGAGUGAUUUCACUGUGGCUGGGAGGAUUUAUUGGGAUAAUGGAUAGCAGUGGUUCUCUGACUUCAGUAUUCACAUCAUAAUCACUUGGGGUAGCUUUUAAAAAUACGAGCACCUGGACCCAUUUUAAACUGUCUGAUUUAAUUAAUCUGCGAAAGGACCUGAUAUUUUUUUUUUUUUGCCAAGGGUGGGACCUGUAUGGGGUGGGGCCUGUAAGAGGUGGAGGUCCGGGAGGUAAGGUGGGGUGAGGUGGAGGGUGUGGCCAGGACCUGGUACUUUUUUUAAAGUCAGCAUCUGUGGUUAUCUCCUAUUUGAAUGCUCCCUCACGUGCAUUCUCUAUUGACCCCAGAGUGUUUCACUAAUUCAAACCUCAGGCUCAAGUGUUGUCAGCACAAGAAAACUCACCUGGAACUGGUUUGCCCCAUUAAGGAAGGUGGUGUGUACCUUGCAAGAUAAAGAGUCAGAAAGGAAAAGAUCUCUGCUUGCCAGUAGAGACACAGCUCAGUAGGCAUUUUGGAUUUUCAUAGCCUCAACCAAUGAAAACAUAUUUAAAAUUUCCACUGGACUUAGAUUAGAAGAGCAAGAACCUGCCACUCCAUCUUGCUAGCUUUAUGUGGGUACCAUGGGGCUCUCUGAGAGGGAUAGGUUCUAUGUAUGACUGCUGUUCUUAGAAGGGCAGCAUACUCCAUUUAAGUGGUCCAAGCCCAGUAGAGCCCCAAUUCACCCAGAGGGUAGGUACUGCAGUAUAAUCAAAACUACCCUUGAAAUACCCUUAUAAACGUAUGAAGAUGGUGGAGCUCUGCUCACACAGCUCAACACAGCUUCUCCUCUAGUAUUGAAACAGAUUGCUGCCUCUUCCCUGAGCCCUUGAGGGAUGGUUGGUGUGUGUUUAAAAAGGGCCAUUUGUACCUAAAAACUAUAACUUUAAUAAAAAAUUCCUACCUAGAGGGCUGAGGAGUUCAAGUUGAGAGAGGCUGUGACCUGGAGGCAAGGAGGCUACGUGAAGGAAGUUUUUCAGAGUUGUCACAGUAGGAGGUGUGGCCUGCUCCAACCCUCUGUACCUUACCUGAAAGCUGAGGGCACAGAUUAACUUUUUGUUGUCGUCGUUUCAUUGUGUAUGUUUUUUUUUAAUUUUAUAUUGAAGUAUAGUGGA